This 1259-nucleotide ribosomal RNA is filed under the name metagenome. Its description in RNAcentral is "SSU rRNA". It matches the Rfam family "Eukaryotic small subunit ribosomal RNA", at positions 519 to 1800 of the family's 1831-position model. The record is from RNAcentral.
UACACUUUAAAUCCUUUAACGAGGAUCAAUUGGAGGGCAAGUCUGGUGCCAGCAGCCGCGGUAAUUCCAGCUCCAAUAGCGUAUAUUAAAGUUGUUGCAGUUAAAAGCUCGUAGUUGGAUCUCAGGAUUUGGAUGGAUGGUUCGCUUUCGGGCGCUACUAUCUGUCUGACCUACUCUAGUCGUGGAUGCCUUGGGUGCUCUUAAUUGAGUGCUUUUGGUGCCCGACGCAAUUACUUUGAAAAAAUUAGAGUGCUCAAAGCAGGCGUAUUGCCUGAAUAGUGUUGCAUGGAAUAAUGAAAUAGGAGUUUACUUCUAUUUUGUUGGUUUUCGGAGGUGAACUAAUGAUUAACAGGGACAGACGGGGGCAUUUGUAUGGAGGGGUUAGAGGUGAAAUUCUUGGAUCCUCUCCAGACAAACUACUGCGAAAGCAUUUGCCAGGAAUGUUUUCACUAAUCAAGAACGAAAGUCAGAGGUUCGAAGACGAUCAGAUACCGUCCUAGUUCUGACCAUAAAUGAUGCCAUCUAACAAUCCACGAAGUUUGCUUGUACGAACUCGUGGGCGGUCCUCGGGAAACCAAAGAUUUUGGGUUCCGGGGGAAGUAUGGUUGCAAAGCUGAAACUUAAAGGAAUUGACGGAAGGGCACCACCAGGAGUGGAGCCUGCGGCUUAAUUUGACCCAACACGGGAAACCUCACCCGGCCCGGACACUUUUAGGAUUGACAGAUUGAAGGCUCUUUCUUGAUCAAGUGGUUGGUGGUGCAUGGCCGUUCUUAGUUGGUGGAGCGAUUUGUCUGGUUAAUUCCGAUAACGAACGAGACUCUACUCUGCUAAAUAGAACGUUGAUAUAUAAAAGUCAGUGCUGACUUCUUAGAGAGACUAACGGCGUUUAGCCGUGUGAGAAAGAGCAAUAACAGGUCUGUGAUGCCCUUAGAUGUCCGGGGCCGCACGCGCGCUACACUGACUGCAGCAACUAGUAUGCUCCUGGUUUGAAAAAACUGGGUAACCUGGUUGAAUUGCAGGCGUGACAGGGAUCAGAGUUUGCAAUUAUCCUCUGUGAACGAGGAAUUCCCAGUAAGCGCAAGUCAUUAGCUUGUGCUGAUUACGUCCCUGCCCUUUGUACACACCGCCCGUCGCUACUACCGAUUGAAUGGUUUAGUGAGGUCUUCGGAUUGGUGCUGAUGGAGUGGUUCUCUGCUCUGUUAGUGCCGAGAAGAUGAUCAAACUUGAUCAUUUAGAGGAAGUAAAAGUCGUAACAAGGU